UGGGGAAUAUUGGACAAUGGGCGCAAGCCUGAUCCAGCAAUGCCGCGUGAGUGAAGAAGGCCUUCGGGUUGUAAAGCUCUUUUGUCAGGGAAGAAACGGUAGUAACGAAUAACUACUACUAAUGACGGUACCUGAAGAAUAAGCACCGGCUAACUACGUGCCAGCAGCCGCGGUAAUACGUAGGGUGCAAGCGUUAAUCGGAAUUACUGGGCGUAAAGCGUGCGCAGGCGGUUGUGUAAGUCAGAUGUGAAAUCCCCGGGCUCAACCUGGGAAUUGCAUUUGAGACUGCACGGCUAGAGUGUGUCAGAGGGGGGUAGAAUUCCACGUGUAGCAGUGAAAUGCGUAGAUAUGUGGAGGAAUACCGAUGGCGAAGGCAGCCCCCUGGGAUAACACUGACGCUCAUGCACGAAAGCGUGGGGAGCAAACAGGAUUAGAUCCCCGUAGUCCCUGAGCGGGCUGGCAAGGCGCAU
RNAcentral lists this ribosomal RNA (470 nucleotides) under uncultured bacterium. RNAcentral describes it as "bacterial SSU rRNA". It matches the Rfam family "Bacterial small subunit ribosomal RNA", at positions 355 to 825 of the family's 1533-position model. The record is from RNAcentral.